CGGCGGACGGGUGAGUAACACGUGGAUAACCUACCUAUAAGACUGGGAUAACUUCGGGAAACCGGAGCUAAUACCGGAUAAUAUAUUGAACCGCAUGGUUCAAUGUGAAAGACGGUUUUGCUGUCACUUAUAGAUGGAUCCGCGCCGCAUUAGCUAGUUGGUAAGGUAACGGCUUACCAAGGCAACGAUGCGUAGCCGACCUGAGGAGGGUGAUCGGCCACACUGGAACUGAGACACGGUCCAGACUCCUACGGGAGGCAGCAGGG
Molecule: ribosomal RNA, 266 nt
Filed under: uncultured Staphylococcus sp.
Lineage: Bacteria; Bacillati; Bacillota; Bacilli; Caryophanales; Staphylococcaceae
Description: partial 16S ribosomal RNA
Rfam family: Bacterial small subunit ribosomal RNA
Source: RNAcentral